Molecule: ribosomal RNA, 410 nt
Filed under: uncultured bacterium
Lineage: Bacteria
Description: bacterial SSU rRNA
Rfam family: Bacterial small subunit ribosomal RNA
Source: RNAcentral
AGCGAACGCUGGCGGCAGGCUUAACACAUGCAAGUCGAGCGGGCGUAGCAAUACGUCAGCGGCAGACGGGUGAGUAACGCGUGGGAACAUACCUCUUGGUUCGGAACAACACAGGGAAACUUGUGCUAAUACCGGAUAAGCCCUUACGGGGAAAGAUUUAUCGCCGAGAGAUUGGCCCGCGUCUGAUUAGCUAGUUGGUGAGGUAACGGCUCACCAAGGCGACGAUCAGAGCUGGUCUGAGAGGAUGAUCAGCCACAUUGGGACUGAGACACGGCCCAAACUCCUACGGGAGGCAGCAGUGGGGAAUAUUGGACAAUGGGCGCAAGCCUGAUCCAGCCAUGCCGCGUGAGUGAUGAAGGCCCUAGGGUUGUAAAGCUCUUUUGUGCGGGAAGAUAAUGACGGUACCGCAA